GGGGGAAUCUUGCACAAUGGAGGCAACUCUGAUGCAGCGACGCCGCGUGAGCGAAGAAGCCCUUCGGGGUGUAAAGCUCUUUCGGCAGGGACGAUGAUGACGGUACCUGCAGAAGAAGCUGCGGCUAACUACGUGCCAGCAGCCGCGGUAAUACGUAGGCAGCAAGCGUUGUUCGGAAUUACUGGGCGUAAAGAGUGUGUAGGCGGUUGUCUAAGUUCGGUGUGAAAUCUCCCGGCUCAACUGGGAGGGGGCGCCGGAAACUGGAGAGCUUGAGCCUGGGAGAGGAAAGCGGAAUUCCUGGUGUAGCGGUGAAAUGCGUAGAGAUCAGGAGGAACACCGGUGGUGUAGACGGCUUUCUGGACCAGGGCUGACGCUGAGACACGAAAGCGUGGGGAGCAAACAGGAUUAGAUACCCUGGUAGUCCACGCCUUAAACGAUGCAUACUUGGUGUCGGCCAUUCAGUUGGUCGGUGCCGGAGCUAACGCGUUAAGUAUGCCGCCUGGGGAGUAC
Molecule: ribosomal RNA, 510 nt
Filed under: uncultured bacterium
Lineage: Bacteria
Description: bacterial SSU rRNA
Rfam family: Bacterial small subunit ribosomal RNA
Source: RNAcentral